GACGAACGCUGGCGGCGUGCUUAACACAUGCAAGUCGAGCGAUGAAAGCCUUAUGAACUAUUCGUAGUGAUUGGGGCCGGAUUAGCGGCGGACGGGUGAGUAACGCGUGAGCAACCUACCUUAAACAACGGGAUAGCCUCGGGAAACCGGGAUUAAUACCGUAUGAGACCCCGCCUUCACAUGAAGAAGAGGUUAAAGAUUUAUCGGUUUAAGAUGGGCUCGCGUCUGAUUAGCUAGUUGGUGAGAUAAAAGCCCACCAAGGCAACGAUCAGUAACCGGCUUGAGAGAGUGAACGGUCACAUUGGAACUGAGACACGGUCCAAACUCCUACGGGAGGCAGCAGUGGGGAAUAUUGCACAAUGGGGGAAACCCUGAUGCAGCGACGCCGCGUGAGCGAUGAAGGAAUUCGUUUCGUAAAGCUCUGUCCAAGGGGAAGAUAAUGACAGUACCCUUGGAGGAAGCCCCGGCUAAAUACGUGCCAGCAGCCGCAGUAA
RNAcentral lists this ribosomal RNA (494 nucleotides) under uncultured bacterium. Its description in RNAcentral is "partial 16S ribosomal RNA". It matches the Rfam family "Bacterial small subunit ribosomal RNA", at positions 28 to 523 of the family's 1533-position model. The record is from RNAcentral.